CGACUACACAACAUGCGAGUUGGUAGAAAUAAAACAAUUUUUCCCCCAAUCUGAGACACGAGAAAAAAUGACUUUUUUAAUGGAAAAAGCACUCAGCACGCAGGGUCGCAGGAUCAACCAGAUGCACGAAAAGCAUGCAUGGUGAACUCCGAGAGGAGAAAACAAAAAAAGAAGGAAAAAAUCACGGAAUUUUUUCCUCUCUUUUUCCCCUUCCCAUCUAUUUUGGUACUUUUAAAAUACAACUCACUAUCAGUCGGGAUAAAAUUUUGACGGCAAAAAGAUCAAACCUCUAGCCGUGCGUAACUAGCGGGAAUGCGACUGAAAUUAUUUUCCUCGCGAUUCGGCCUUACUUAACACCUGAGAGCAACGUUCGUUGUGUUAUUGAACUUGUUCCUCACGGUUUCCGUACAUUUAACUGUAAAAAUUAGUGUUGCUCAAAAGUGCCAUAUUUCAUAAAUGAAACAUACUCAUAAUGCUCAUUUUUGUGUUUUGUAUAUACUUAUCUUCAUUUUGUGCUGUGAUGGUGUGGAAAUGAGCUUAAAUACUACUAGUUUGGUUGUGCUGACCCAAAAGGAUACCUGUUCGCCGUCUCAAGAUAUGGAGUUAAUGCCGCGUGCACUAUCAGCUGAACAAAGGCGGCAGUUUCUUCAGAGAAAUAAGCUCAAGGCUAAGCCUAACGCAUAUCCAGUCAUGGGUGCUCUUCGCAACGUUCAACGUACAACUAUCUAUACGAGAAAUCAGAUGCACUACAGGCCUGAGUUACGAAAAUAUCCUAAAGGUGCGGUGUAUACGAGGUACAGGAUGCCACCAAUGUAUGUUACGUUUAAGUGUCCACCCAAAGUUGGGCUGCUGCUUUGCAGGGCAAGUUGCGAAAGACGGAGCAAAUUCACGAUAGGAUCCUGCGAUAAUGGCUAUUGCACGUGCCUACUCCUCAAGCCGGGAUUCCGUGGCAAAAGUGUAUUCGUCAGGAGAGCCAAUUGUUAUUUGAAAGCAGACAGAGUAAAAUGCACCAAGUUCUGCGUUUACCAAUUCGGAAGAAGUGCUCAAGGAUUGUGUAAUGCAGACAGGUGUAGAUGUUUCACGAACCCAAAGAUCUCUCCGAAGAACCAACUUACCGCUUGUGAACAAGCGAGAAGACGACUGGCGUUUUUGGAGGCACGCUUGCGGGCUAUCAUGCGGAAACAUCCAUCCUCCCGGACACUAGAGGAGAGACGGUUCCUCAAAGAGGUAUCCAAAAACCCGCGAGUUAUCCAACGUAUCAACUCGUCACGCAGACCACGUAAGCCUAGAGGAGCGGCGUCUAGGCGAGCGCCAUCUCCCGGGUCUACAAAUUUUCAAUCAAUCCAAAGAAAGCUCCAAACGCAAGGAAUUCAGCCAAAAAGUCUCCAGCAAAGGCUACUAAGUUUGUAACGGACCCUAAAGGUCCCCAAUUCCCACGGAACAAGGCUCAAUCAGCACAAAAAAGGGUUGCUGUGAACCAGAGGAGGAGUGGACAAAGCCCUGGAAAGGGUAUAACUGGUGCAAGGCAACCUCCAA
This 1536-nucleotide long non-coding RNA is filed under the name Bemisia tabaci. RNAcentral describes it as "lncRNA ENSSSA1UGG000602". Lineage: Eukaryota; Metazoa; Arthropoda; Insecta; Hemiptera; Aleyrodidae. The record is from RNAcentral.